GACGAACGCUGGCGGCGUGCUUAACACAUGCAAGUCGAACGGAAAGGCCCUGCUUUUGUGGGGUUCUCGAUUGGCGAACGGGUGAGUAACACGUGAGUAACCUGCCCUUGUCUUUGGGAUAUCUUCAGGAAACUGGGGCUCAUACCGGAUAGGAGCUCCUGCUGCAUGGUGGGGGUUGGAAAGUUUCGGCGGUUUGGGAUGGACUCGCGGCUUAUCCGCUUGUUUGUGGGGUAGUUGCUUACCAAGGGUUUGACGGGUAGCCCGCCUGGGAGGGGGACCGGGGACAUGAGGACUGAGAGAGGGAGCAGACGCCUACGGGAGGCAGCAGGGGGGAGUAUGGCAGAGUGAGCGGAAGUGAGAGGCGGAGACGCCGGGUGCGGGAUGACGGCUUACGGGGUGUAAACAGCUGUCGAAGGUGACGAAGAGUGAGUGACGGUAAUGGGUAAAGAAGCACCGGCUAACUACGUG
This 468-nucleotide ribosomal RNA is filed under the name uncultured bacterium. RNAcentral describes it as "partial 16S ribosomal RNA". It matches the Rfam family "Bacterial small subunit ribosomal RNA", at positions 28 to 507 of the family's 1533-position model. The record is from RNAcentral.